ACAUCUAUAUAUUUUUCUAAAGAUUGCAAUGCAUGUGCGGAUGAUGAUGAAAAAGCAAAUGGAGGGAGGCAUUGUAGUUUAUUUUACAGCACCUGUCGAGUGUUGAUCUUGCGCCCAUUUUUCGUUCCACUGAAAAUACGAAGAGAAAUGGAUGGGCGGGUCACAGGUGUGCACACACGGCUGCUGGGUUGCGCCAAAAAAGCAGCACUUGAGCACGCGUAAUCAUUUCUAUUGACCUAUGCCGAGGAGUAGGAAAAAAAAAUGUCACCUCAUGGCCAAAUGUCGAGUCUCAAUCACGCACGCAAAACGGCUCACACAAAAUGUUGGGGAGUUGUAUUGACUUUGUUGAGAAGAGCGACGUAACCCUGCUGAUAAGGCUAUUAUCUCCUCAUUUUUCUGAUGACCGUACAAAUCUACUCGCAUAUUGUGUGUGUGUGUGGACUCACCGUUAACACAGACACACGCGGCGCGCUGAUUGCUCAUUAUACACAUAGUUACCUGCUACACAUCUUAUUUUCGUGUGUGUUAAAGAGGCACACGAGGCGCUCGGCGGUAGCCAAACGAUGGGCGAUAACGAACGCUUGUCGUGUUUGAACUAUUUGGCUUUCGUUUUGUUUUUUAUCUCUGCGCACGGGAUAAUGAAUAUUAGCUUACAGUCUUAUUCAAUUGCUUUGCAAACAAUCCAAAUAGGUGUCUAACGAGCUCCAUAAUCAUUGUUACUUUCGGGAUUACUAAAUAGCACAUGAAAAGCUUUUUAUUUCGUUUUCCAGGUGUCACAUUCCACUGUUGUUUUUUUAUUGCACGUAAUUAAUGCGUUGUAAAAUGCUCCUUUAAUUUAUCUACUGCAAUUUUUCGCUAAUGGGCCAUUUUGACUUUGGGAGAAAGUUAAAUCGUACGAUUUUUAAAGCUUUAAGAGAUAUACGCAGUACGUUUACUCACGCUUCGUAACAAUGUCAAUUCUGAAAUGAACUUUUGUGCGCAAAAGUCACAACAAAUCGAUUGAUUUCAAUAAGCCUAAUCCGGACUGUCCGGCCAAUUUCUAGUCCGAAUGGAUAGGCCUUUUCUAUCCGAUUGAGAAAAAAAAAACUCCAUUUGAAAUCAAUUUUACGGUCAAGAGUGCGGAAAAUUUUUGAUAAACUUUCCUACCUCUCUUUUUUUUUUUAUUGUACAUCGCUGUGAAAUUGGCUUUCAUUUCCGAAGCUGGAAGGGAGAGAGUGAAUAAUGUGCGCUUGCCUAUGAAUGUCCGCAUUAUCAGCUCGUUUCUUAUUCAAUGCUCGCGAAGCUUCGCUUGUUCGAUGUAUACAUUACACUUUAAUGCUCCGGUUGAGCGGCCAAAACCGAUUACAGUAUAUACACCCUCCCCUGACUGACUGAAAAACGUUGGUGACAAUAGCGUUUGAUCGAAAACGAGAGUCACGGCACAAACGCGAGCCAAACUCGCAGGUCAGCCGGCAGCAGAUGGCCCUUCAGUCCCGUCCCCCCCACCCUCCCCGUCUCUCUUUAACCAUAUUGAGCCUAUUACAAGCUACUAUUGACAUUAUAUUCACCCCCUUAUGCUACUAUAUAAUGCUCUCUCUCUUGUAUUCAGCAUACUCUGGCGGGGUGGCUUUUAGAUUGCCCCUUCCUCCGAUACUAGUUGCCACCAUUUAGCGCUAAUGAAAUUAUCAUAUCAAUCGACCGCAGCAACAUGCUUCGGUCGUCGCAUUUUUGCCACCAACCCAUUUGAUAUAAGAGAUCGGGCAACGAUCCAUUUGAUUCCCGACAACCCCACACUAUCCCGGGUCUUACUGUCAAAUGCUCCCUCUCUCCUAUACAAAUGGCGGAUGGAUCAUUAACUUGCCUCGUUUAUUCGCCAAAUUGAUUUCAAGAUUGACGAUCGUGUCGAAAUGAACUCUGCUUUUUAUCGACAGUUUGACAAACGUUUGAGCCCGGGCUCCAUUAUCGGCAAAGGGGAGAGAGAGAGAGGAAAGUAGUUCAAACUCGAUGUGUGUUAUGUUCAAACAACACCUGCUUAUCCAGGGGCGAGAAUUCUAUCACCCUUUAGUACAACCCUUUCUAUCCCCCGGUUGCUGAUGGUUAUCGAUACAAGGGUGAUAACCAAAGAUGAUUGCUUGAGUCAACUUGGUACUUAAACAUGCAACUAACCUGAGAGGUCGCCUCCGAAACGAUGGUAGAGGACGCCGGCCCUGGCCAGCCAUUCAAGAUGAGCUGAAUGGAACUGAUGGGCUGCGGGUGAGGAUGCGGCGACGGCAGCGGCUGCCGCGGCCGCCGCCGCGUGAAGAGCCGCUGCCGGACUGGUGAACAACGGGCCUGGAUAAUUGGCCACAUUUGCACCGCCACUGGAUGAUGUCGUCGACGAUGAUGAAGUCAAGAUGUUAGUGGUCGGAACUGUCUGACUGCCGGACGACGCCGGCGGGCCGUACAUCAUCCGAGCCAUUGAAUGAGGUUGAGUCCAACACGAAAUGUUGGCUUGCUGGACUAUUUGCUGGUCUCGUUCGUUGGCCGUUGCCGGACCGCCGUCUUCUUUAGUUGUGCUGCUGCCGCUACUCUGACGGCCGUCCGUCUCUUUCUCACCGUCGGCCGGCGUGGAGUCACUUGUUUUGCUGGCAGACACGGACUCGACCGACGUUUCGAACGAAGGAUAGUGAUGAUGAUGAAGCCCGCCAAACAGAUUCGAACGGAACCGAAGGGAUUCACCGUAACUGCUGACGAUGAGCUGUUGAUGUGCGGCCGCCUGAGCUGCAGCAGCAGCCGCGGAUGGUAAAGAAUCACUACCGGGAACUUUGUCCUGGGCCAAUAACGAGUCGAUGCAAAACGAUGUUUUACUCUUGCCGGACGCCAUAAUUCGGUUGAAGAUGAUGAACCGUUAUCCGCUGGCUCUCGUAAACGUAUAGCGGCCGGAACUGAGGUUGAGUAAAGGGCGACUGGGCCUGGAACCAUCACCUUUGGGGUAAGAGUACACACAUCGUGGAACCGAAAACGCAUAUGUAUAUAUAUUUUUCGUGUUCGUUCACAUGAGCGAAAAGGAGGGUUAAAGGUGGGGGGGGGGGUGUGCAGAGAAGGACAACACAGAAGAACCCGGAGGGGCGGAGUUUGGGCCAACUAGUCAUGACGGCCAGCCAGUAGAAUGAUAAAGCUUUGUCUCCCUUCUCUCCAAUCGCAGAGUACGACUCGCAUCCGAAUGGGAGUGGCUUAAGGAUCUACCAGCCGGACAAGAGACUUGUUCCUUUUCACCGGAUUGAUCUCUCAUCUCGGUGUGUACGUCAUUUUCCCCAACUUUUUUUCAUUUCCGAUGACUCCAAUCACUACUUUUCUCAAAUGAUGGCUGUCAUUUUUCAACAUGGCUCUUCGUCUAUUCUUUUUAACCAGGGGGGCCUUAUUUGACACGAGACAGUGUAAGUACAGGGGGGGGGGGGAGGCUGACGUCCGGCUUUUUUAUAACUCGUUCUUUCUCUGUGGUCGGUGUAGGUUAAUCAGAUGCAUGAACAAGCUUGCAGCUUCACUUGCAUUAUGCUAAUGAAAUGGGUUUAGAGACAGCGGGUAGUUGAUUGAACCAACUUGCUUUGAGAUCGAGCAAACGGAGAGCAGCCGGGCAAAAAAACGGGGCGACACAUGUCGACAACAACAAAAAAGAGAGCCACAACAUGCAAACUUCUCUCGCGUUUAAUGACCGUGUCUUUGAACCCCGGGCUAAAAAGAAUGUCUUUCUCCUUGGCGUCGGAUAUAGGCCAUCAUAAAACACUACCGGCUGGCCGGGCCACUGUACACGUUUCGUGUCUUGUACAGCGCCAGCGCGUUGAGUGGAUUUUGAAAAAAAAAAAAAAAAGACUUGAGGUGUUUGCUUAACCGAAAAAAAAGGGGGGAGGAGAAGGUGGGGAGGGAGAAAGAAGAAGUGGAUGUUAAACGAGGGACUGGAUUUUUUUUUUUUUUUUUUUUCGUCCGGCCCCGUGUGUUUGCUUAGCGUCGGAUAAAACGCGGCUAACGAGAGCUAACGAGGUUGGCAGAGCAAGCUCUUUGCCGGCGGCCUUGAUUCGAUUAGACGCCAUUUGGUCUCGUCACCUAACAGCAUUAAGACUCGUUCGAUAAAAUCCAAAAAAGAAUUUGUAUAUUCCUUCCCCUCCUUUUUUUUAUUUUCUAUUCUUCCGUCUUUUGUUUUGUCUGCUGAUGCUACUGCAGUUUCAGCAUUGCGUUCAAAGUUGUGUGUUUAUCCAAUAGCAGUGAUGCAGACUUUUUGUGUGUCCCCUUGUGCUGUGCUCUAUUGCUGGUGGUGCGGAGAAGGACGCUUUUGGACGCUUUAGGGACGAGCUACGAAGUCUAAUCCGAUUGUGCGACUACUCUCUGUUGUAUAGUCGGUCGUCAUCGUUGUCGGACGCUCGGAAUAAUAAUCAAGUCAACAGUGGCCACCGGCGUGUUGCUGCUGUGCUUUGCUCUUCUCUCCUUUUCCGCUCUAAAGUAUCAUCGAAGACGGGACACACACACGCAAAAACUGAAUUGGAUUACUCUCGCUUUCCAACGCAUCGUUGAUUACAUUAAAGCCUCCUUUUCGCUUUCCUGGCUCGCU
This is a long non-coding RNA of Daphnia carinata, 4561 nucleotides long. RefSeq lists it as uncharacterized. NCBI's taxonomy places the organism in Eukaryota, Metazoa, Arthropoda, Branchiopoda, Diplostraca, Daphniidae. The transcript is spliced from 3 exons. The record is from RefSeq and is a predicted model, not a curated record.